RNAcentral lists this ribosomal RNA (253 nucleotides) under uncultured bacterium. RNAcentral's name for it is "partial 16S ribosomal RNA". It matches the Rfam family "Bacterial small subunit ribosomal RNA", at positions 524 to 776 of the family's 1533-position model. The record is from RNAcentral.
UACGUAGGGGGCAAGCGUUGUCCGGAUUUACUGGGUGUAAAGGGCGCGCAGGCGGGAUAGCAAGUCAGAGGUGAAAUCCUACAGCUUAACUGUAGAACUGCCUUUGAUACUGUUAUUCUUGAGUUCGGGAGAGAGAGACGGAAUUCCAGGUGUAGUGGUGAAAUACGUAGAUAUCUGGAAGAACACCAGUUGCGAAGGCGGUCUCUUGGUCCGAUACUGACGCUGAGGCGCGAAAGCGUGGGGAGCCAACAGG